CAAGGUUUAUCAUGUGAGUUAUCCAAUAUGCAUUACACUCAAGUUCAAUUGGUAAGUGACAUACUUUUUCGAACUCCAAUCAAUAAGGAGACAUCCCAAUAGGAGUUUUAAAUGCGGUUCGGUAGGCUAAAAGCGCAUCAUCUAAUUUUUUUGACUAAUCUGUGUGUGACAUAUUAACUAUAGCUUCUAGGAUUUUCUUUAACUCCCUGAUGGAGAUCUUAACUUGCCCAUUAGUCCGUAGACUUAUGUCAAACAGUUAAACUAUCACUAUCUAGUGACUGAACAAGUUUUCAUUAUUUGAAUAAAUAUUUUUGUUGUUAGUGAAUUGAGCUUGUUUAUUGAAUGACAACACUAGAAUGUUUUCUAAGAAGAAAUGAUAAAUACAUGAGCAUGUUUUCGAAUUGUGAUAUAAAUAUUGCUCAUACAAGUUUGAUCCAUAUUUAGUCAAAUAUGAUUGAAGACCAGUUAGAUAGUUGUAUAUACAUGUUUAGCCCCUAUUUAGUAGAAUCAUUUGCUGUCCCUUGAAACCAUCUCGCACAUGAGGCCAUACUAAAUUUAUCAACAUUAUUGCUUACACUCCAUAGAUUAGCCACUAUGUUAGGAGAACUCGCCGAUAAAUACAAAAUAGGAGCAUCUUCCAGGGCGUAAAGCCUAUUUAGUUUUAUUUUACCACUUUCUCUUCCCA
This 685-nucleotide long non-coding RNA is filed under the name Olea europaea subsp. europaea. Lineage: Eukaryota; Viridiplantae; Streptophyta; Magnoliopsida; Lamiales; Oleaceae. The record is from RNAcentral.